UAGCUGGAUCGAGGUUUGUAGUGU
Molecule: non-coding RNA, 24 nt
Filed under: Mus musculus (house mouse)
Lineage: Eukaryota; Metazoa; Chordata; Mammalia; Rodentia; Muridae
Source: RNAcentral